Long non-coding RNA from Echinops telfairi (small Madagascar hedgehog), 549 nucleotides. RefSeq lists it as uncharacterized. The transcript has 2 exons. The record is from RefSeq and is a predicted model, not a curated record. NCBI's taxonomy places the organism in Eukaryota, Metazoa, Chordata, Mammalia, Afrosoricida, Tenrecidae.
CCCCCUGCACCCCCAAUCCUAUUCCAACUUGGGACAUCUGACCCUGCUUCCUUUCCCCUGAAUCCAUCCCAGGGAGGACCUUCCCAAUCUCCAGCCCUCUAACACUAAGCCUUCAUCUCAGGGGGUCUUCCCAGGACCCUUUGCAACUUGGCCUGCUGUGUGCCUACCGGUGGCAGGGCCAGCAGCUCCCACCUGGACCUCACCUUGUCAUCCUUGUGGAAGGACAGGCAGGAUGCCCAGCUCACUCCCCGGAUGUACGCAGUCGCCAUCUUGAGAAUGUCCAGCUUGAAGGGCUGCUCGAGGAAGAUGAUGUAGUUCUCGAAAAGAGCAACCCUCAGGAGCUGCCGCGGCCUGGCUGCCCCAGACCACCCUACCAGUAAGAGCCAACACAUCGACCCAAGAAAUGAAGACAUUCUCAGAGAACUGCACAUCCAAGACUGGACCACCACCAAGCCACUGUUAGGUCUCUAGGCCAGGGGUCACUGGACUUCAGUCCAGGAGCCAAAUCCAGCUCCCCACCUCUCUGUGUAAAGGUUUUUUUGGAACACA